UUUCCGUAGGUGAACCUGCGGAAGGAUCAUUCAUAAUAAGUGUUUUAUGGCACUUUUUAAAUCCAUAUCCACCUUGUGUGCAAUGUCAGUUGUUCUCUUCUAUGCGAACGACCAAACAUAAACCAACUCUUUAUCUCUUUGUCUGAAAAAUAUUACGAGUAAAAUUAUUCAAAAUAUAACUUUCAACAACGGAUCUCUUGGCUCUC
RNAcentral lists this unclassified non-coding RNA (206 nucleotides) under plant metagenome. RNAcentral's name for it is "partial contains small subunit ribosomal RNA, internal transcribed spacer 1, and 5.8S ribosomal RNA". The record is from RNAcentral.